GCCUCUGUAUAGCUCAGUUGGUUAGAGCGCUGCACCGGAAUCGCAGGGCCGUAGGUUCAAUUCCUACCAGAGGAC
Molecule: transfer RNA, 75 nt
Filed under: Paramuricea clavata
Lineage: Eukaryota; Metazoa; Cnidaria; Anthozoa; Malacalcyonacea; Plexauridae
Description: tRNA-Ser
Rfam family: tRNA
About the family: Transfer RNA (tRNA) molecules are approximately 80 nucleotides in length.
Source: RNAcentral